Molecule: ribosomal RNA, 409 nt
Filed under: Pseudomonas sp.
Lineage: Bacteria; Pseudomonadati; Pseudomonadota; Gammaproteobacteria; Pseudomonadales; Pseudomonadaceae
Also listed under: 2 other names
Description: partial 16S ribosomal RNA
Rfam family: Bacterial small subunit ribosomal RNA
Source: RNAcentral
UGGGGAAUAUUGCACAAUGGGCGAAAGCCUGAUGCAGCGACGCCGCGUGAGGGAUGACGGCCUUCGGGUUGUAAACCUCUUUCAGCAGGGACGAAGCGCAAGUGACGGUACCUGCAGAAGAAGCACCGGCUAACUACGUGCCAGCAGCCGCGGUAAUACGUAGGGUGCAAGCGUUGUCCGGAAUUACUGGGCGUAAAGAGUUCGUAGGCGGUUUGUCGCGUCGUUUGUGAAAACCAGCAGCUCAACUGCUGGCUUGCAGGCGAUACGGGCAGACUUGAGUACUGCAGGGGAGACUGGAAUUCCUGGUGUAGCGGUGAAAUGCGCAGAUAUCAGGAGGAACACCGGUGGCGAAGGCGGGACUCUGGGCAGUAACUGACGCUGAGGAACGAAAGCGUGGGUAGCGAACAGG